This 478-nucleotide ribosomal RNA is filed under the name uncultured bacterium. RNAcentral describes it as "partial 16S ribosomal RNA". It matches the Rfam family "Bacterial small subunit ribosomal RNA", at positions 28 to 507 of the family's 1533-position model. The record is from RNAcentral.
GAUGAACGCUGGCGGCGUGCUUAACACAUGCAAGUCGAACGGGAAACCUUUUAUUGAAGCUUCGGCAGAUUUAGCUGGUUUCUAGUGGCGGACGGGUGAGUAACGCGUGGGUAACCUGCCCUAUACAGGGGGAUAACAACCAGAAAUGGUUGCUAAUACCGCAUAAGCGCACAGGGCCGCAUGGUCCGGUGUGAAAAACUCCGGUGGUAUAGGAUGGACCCGCGUUGGAUUAGCCAGUUGGCAGGGUAACGGCCUACCAAAGCGACGAUCCAUAGCCGGCCUGAGAGGGUGAACGGCCACAUUGGGACUGAGACACGGCCCAGACUCCUACGGGAAGCAGCAGUGGGGAAUAUUGCACAAUGGGGGAAACCCUGAUGCAGCGACGCCGCGUGAAGGAAGAAGUAUCUCGGUAUGUAAACUUCUAUCAGCAGGGAAGAUAGUGACGGUACCUGACGAAGAAGCCCCGGCUAACUACGUG